RNAcentral lists this unclassified non-coding RNA (254 nucleotides) under uncultured Patescibacteria group bacterium. RNAcentral describes it as "contains 16S-23S intergenic spacer region". It matches the Rfam family "Bacterial small subunit ribosomal RNA", at positions 524 to 776 of the family's 1533-position model. The record is from RNAcentral.
UACGUAGGGUGCGAGCGUUAUCCGGAUUUACUGGGCGUAAAGAGUUCCGUCGGCGUCUUGAUAAGUUUUUUGUUUAAACCCAAGGCUUAACUUUGGAAGAGCAAAGAAAACUAUCAGGAUUGAGUCUGUUCGGGGAAGCUAGAAUUCUCGGUGGAGGGGUGAAAUCCGUAGAUAUCGAGAGGAAUACCAGACGCGAAGGCGGGCUUCUAGAACAGCACUGACGCUCAGGGACGAAAGCUUGGGUAGCAAAAGGG